Sinocyclocheilus rhinocerous is the source of this 429-nucleotide non-coding RNA. NCBI's taxonomy places the organism in Eukaryota, Metazoa, Chordata, Actinopteri, Cypriniformes, Cyprinidae. The record is from the annotation of a RefSeq genome assembly.
CAUCACUGUCUCUCUGAAGACAUCAUGUUUCUCUUUAACUGGAUAAUAAUUCAACUUUGCAUGGGAAAUUCUUUUGGUGACACAAUACAACCAUGGUUUCCAGAAAAACAUGAUUCUGAUGGUGAAAAUGUGACUCUGUCCUGUAACUACAGUCUCACUAGCGGCACUAGUGUUACUAUCCAGUGGUAUCGCCAGUAUCCCGGAGCAAAACCAGAGUUUUUACUUUUUGUCACUGAAUAUUCUAGCAAAUCUGUGCCUGAACUACGUCUAUUUUCAGAAGCUAAAAAAGAAAUCAAACGUGUGGAUCUGGUGAUCUUCUCUGCUGCUGUAUCAGACUCUGCUCUGUACUACUGUGCCCUGCAGCCCACAGUGUCAGGAAACUCAUGUCCUCAGCACAGGACAGGAUUGAACAGACUUCAAGAGAAAUGA